UCACAUGCUCCCCCGUCCCCUAAAGACUGGCUCACUGGUAUUCUCUUGUAUUCAGGGACACCUUCAUGGAAGUGUUAUGGGCACUGUUAGGCUCCAAAGCUCUAAAUUGGCUUAGUGAAAAGUGUUCACCUGGGUCAGCAGAAUGAUCAGGACCAUGGGGCUCCCAGUGGCCCUGAGUCAGCUCCCAUAUAUACCCCCACAGCAGCAGAUGACCUGUGCUUCUUUCCCCUAAAUACUUCAGUGCCUGUUUCCCAAGGAUAAAAUACUUUCUUACAUACCCACAGUACAGUUAGCAAGAUCAGGAAAGUUUACAUUACAUGGAUUUAAUUCUCAUCAUAUCUACCAUUCACAUUCAAAUUUCAGUCAUCCCAAUAAUGUCCUUUAUAGGUAUUUUCUACAGCUAUAGCAUGAGCCACCACACCCAACCACUGAGAAGGCCUGGGGGCAAUGGCACAGGUCCAGGACUGAGCAACAAGCCUCUCAUCUCUCCUGGGCAACUCGUCCAGAACCAACUUCUCCAAGAAGCCUUCUCAUAUAGCACACCCCACCCUGUUAGAAUCCUCUGCCCAAAUUGCUAUCACUGGUGGAUUUAUUAUAUUCUGUAAUACACUUUGGCUACAGAAGCCCUUUGAACUCUUUGUCUUCCUUUUCUAUUCCCAGCAUCUAGCGUAGCACAUGGCACACAGUAGUUGUUAAGAAUUUAUUUAAGGAAUGUUGGGUUGGCUAAGUUUUCUUUCUUCUUUGGUAUUAUCAUUUUUUUCCUUUAAGGGCUCUCCCUCCUGCUGCCAGAGUGUCACCCUAAGCUUAUUUCUCUGUUCACCUUGAUUUCUCUUUAUACUCUUCUGAGUAGUGUUCCCAUUCCUAGGCCUUGUAUCUCCACUCUACUGACUCCAAAUUCUUACCUCUGAAAAGAAUUUAGAUAAGAGGUCUGACCUCCCAUUUAAAUUUCAUUCUAGUACUUCUAUUACCCAAGGUGUCACGUUUAUGUAUAAAGUACAUUGGCAUUGCAAACUCAAUUUACAUAAAUCCAAAUUCCUUAUCUUUCUCUCAAAAUUCUCUCCUCUCACAAUCUUUAUCCCUGUAGAGAAUUCUGUUAUGCUUCCUGCCAGUCAGGCCUAGAGUAAGUCUGCCAAUGUCUUAUUUUACUUUUAAGUGGUAUACCACGUUAUGGUACAGAAAAAGUAAGAUACAAAAGCAUGUGAGCUCUUUGAUCUCGAUUACGCGCAUGUAUAUUGUAUGUGUGUACUAAAAAGAAUGGAAGAAAUUACUUUUUUUUUUUGAGACAGAAUCUUGCCCCGUCACCCCAGGUAGAGUACAGUGGCAUCAUCAUAGCUCACUGCAAUAUCAAAUACUCAGGCUCAAGGGAUCCUUCUGCCUCAGCCUCCCAGAAUGCUAAGAUUAUAGGCAUGAGCCACUGGGCCAGGCCAGAAAUAUACCAAUUUUCAAGGUGUAGGCUGUGGAAUUAUAAAUAUUUCAAGAUUUUUUCCCCCUGAUACCAUGUAGCAUUUUACAAAUUUCCAUCAGUAAACACACAUUACUUUUAUUGGAAAAAAAAAAAACAUUUUUAACAUGCCCUUCUAGAUGCCCACUGCUGCCCUCAUAGCCCAGACUGAAUCAGUUCCCAUCUAAAUUUUCUUAAUUUUUCUACUUUCAGUCCCUGGCUCAUUCAUUAACAUUGAUUUCCAUCCAUAAGUCCAUCCAAGUUUUUCUUUCUGCCCAACUGCCUGACUCGCUGUCCCCUUCAAGGCCUUUUGUGCCCAGUACUCUCAUAUAUUUGGCUCGACUGCUGGAGACUGUUCCCAGAGCCAGUCUCUUCUCCCCAUUAGAAACAUCAGGCAUGUACCUGUUCCUGAGUCUUGCCUGCACCCUUCCUGCCUCACACAGAGAAGCAAGCAUCCUAUGUGUAUUAUAAUAAACAACUAAAACCUUGCCUCCUCCAGCCACCUUCCCUACUUAAUCUGCUCUCAAAACCCUGGCCGUGAGUUUAUACAGCAUUUACAGUGUGUUUCACAAAAUAUAAAAUGUUAUUACCCCUUCCCUGAAUUUUUGCUUUUGGUAUAUGUGUGGUUUUCCCUCUAAUAAGAUUAUGUUUUACAAGGGCAGAGAAUAUAGUAUUGUUCAAUGGAUGCUUAAAGUACUAAAUAGAAUGGAAUAGGUUUGGAAGGAAGGAUGACGAAGUCUAUUUGGAAGGUAUAAGUUUGAGAAACACAAGUUAAAAGGAAAGAGAAAUGUUAGAAGGUGAUCAAAAAUGUGUAUGUUACUUGGUGGGGGAGGAGCAAGCAAUUUAUUUUUUUUUAUUUUUUAUUUAUUUUUACUUUUUUUUUCCUGCAGUUUUGGCUGGGGUUGGGCUUGAACCCGCUGCCCUUGGUAUAUGGGGCCGGUGCCCUACUCCUUGAGCCACAGGCACCGCCCUACUUAUUUAUUUAUUUUUAUUUUUUAGCUUUUGGAUUUGAUCUUUGACCUGUCAUCUUUUCUUUCUUUUUUUUUUUUUUUUUAUCAUUGGGGAUUCAUUGAGGGUACAAGAAAUCAGGUUACACUGAUUGCAUUUGUUAGGUAAAGCCCCUCUUACAAUUGUGUCUUGCCCCCAAAAGGUGUGGCACACACCAAAGUCCCACCCACCUCCCUCCUUCUCUCUCUCUGCUCUUCCUUUCCCCACCCCUCCCUCCUUCUUUCUCUUUCUGCUCUCCCAUUCCCCCACCUCUACUGUGUCCUUAAUUGUCCUCAUACCAAAAUUGAGAACAUAGGAUUCAUGCUUCUCCAUUCUUGUGAAGCUUUACUAAGAAUAAUGUGUUCCACUUCCAUCCAGGUUAAUAUAAAGGAUGUAAAGUCUCCAUUUUUUUAAUGGCUGAAUAGUAUUCCAUGGUAUACAUAUACCACAGCUUGUUAAUCUAUUCCUGGAUUGGUGGGCAUUUAGGCUGUUUCCACAUUUUGACAAUUGUAAAUUGAACUGCAAUAAACAGUCUAGUGCAAGUGUCCUUAUGAUAAAACGAUUUUUUUCCUUCUGGGUAGAUGCCCAGUAAUGGGAUUGCAGGAUCAAAUGGGAGGUCUAGCUUGAGUUCUUUGAUGUUUCUCAAUACUUCCUUCCAAAAAGGUUGUAUUAGUUUCCCAUUAGCAGUGUAAGAGUGUUCCCUUCUCUCCACAUCCACACCAGCAUCUGCAGUUUUGAGAUUUUGUGAUGUGGGCCAUUCUCACUGGGGUUAGAUGGUAGGUAUCUCAGGGUGGUUUUGAUUUGCAUUUCGCUAAUAAAUAGGGACCAUGAGCAUUUUUUCAUACGCUUGUUAGCCAUUUGUCUGUCUUCUUUAGAGAAGGUUCUAUUCAUGUCUCUUGCCCAUUGAUAUAUGGGAUUGUUGGCUUUUUUCAUGUGGAUUGAUUUCAAGUUCUCUAUAGAUUCUGGUUAUCAAGCUUUUGUCUGAUUCAAAAUAUGCAAAUACCCUUUCCCAUUGUGUAGGUUGUCUAUUUGCUUUGGUUGUUGUGUCCUUAGCUGUACAGAAGCUUUUCAGUUUAAUUAAGUCUCAUUUGUUUAUUCUUGUUGUUGCGAUUGCCAUGGCAGUCUUCUUCAUGAAGUCUUUCCCCAGGCCAAUAUCUUCCAGUGAUUUUCCUAAGCUUUCUUUGAGGAUUUUUGUUUCAUGCCUUAAAUUUAAGUUCUUUAUCCAUCUUGAAUCAAUUUUUGUGAGUGGGGAAAGGUGUGGGUCCAGUUUCAGUCUUCUACAUGUGGAUAUCCAGUUCUCCCAACACCAUUUAAUGACUAGGGAGUCUUUCCCCCAAGGUAUGUUCUUGUUUGGUUUAUCAAAGAUUAGGUGGUUGUAAGAUGUUAGUUUCAUUUCCUGGUUUUCUAUUUGAUUCCAAAUGUCUAUGUCUCUAUUUUUGUGCCAGUACCAUUCUGUCAUGACCACUAUGGCUUUGUAGUUCAGCUUAAAAUCUGGUAUGCUGAUGCUCCCAGCUUUAUUUUUAUUACUAAGAACUGCCUUAGCUAUAUGGGUUUUUUUCUGGUUCCAUACAAAACGCAGAAUCAUUUUAUUCCAAAUCUUGAAAGUAUGAUAUUGGUAUUUUAAUAGGAAUGGCAUUGAAUAGGUAGAUUGCUUUGGGAAGUAUAGACAUUUUAACAAUGUUGAUCCUUCCCAACCAUGAGCAUGGUGUGUUCUUCUAUUUGUUAAUAUCCUCUAUUUCCUUUCUGAGGAUUUCCUAAUUUUCUUUAUAGAGGUCCUUCAACUCCUUUGUUAGGUAUAUUCCUAGGCAUUUCAUUUUCACUGAAGCUAUGGUGAAGGGAGUUGUGUCCUUAAUUAGCCUUUCAUCUUGACUGUUAUUGGCGUAUAUAAAGGCAACUGAUUUGUGGACAUUGAUUUUAUAUCCUGAGACAUUACUGUAUUUUUUGAUGACUUCCAGGAGUCUUGUGGUUGAGUCUUUGGGGUUCUCUAAGUAUAAGAUCAUGUCAUCAGCAAAGAGGGAGAAUUUGACCUCCUGUGCUCCCAUUUGGAUUCCCUUUAUUUCCUUGUCUUGCCUAAUUGUAUUGGCUAGAACUUCCAGCACUAUGUUGAAAAGUAAUGGUGACAGAGGACAACCUUGUCUGGUUCCAGUUCUAAGAGGAAAAACUUUCAGUUUUACUCCAUUCAAUAAAAUAUUAGUUGUGGGUUCAUCAUAGAUAGCUUCAAUCAGUUUCAGAAAUGUGCCACCUAUGCCUAUACUCUUCAGUGUUCUAAUUAAAAAAGGAUGCUGGAUUUUAUCGAAUGCUUUUUCUGCAUCUAUUGAGAGGAUCAUAUGGUCUUUAUUUUUGCUUCUGUUAAUACGGUGGAUAAUGUUUAUGGACUUGUGUAUGUUAAACCAGCCUUGCAUCCCUGGGGUGAAACCUACUUGAUCAUGAUGUAUGACUUUUUUGAUGAUAAGCUGUAAUCUAUUGGCUAGGAUAUUGUUGAGAAUUUUACAUCUAUAUUCAUUAAUGAAAUUGGUCUAAAAUUCUCCUAUUUAGUUGGGUUUUUUCCUGGUUUUGGUAUCAGGGUGAUGUUUGCUUCAUAGAACGUGUUGAGGAAGAUUCCUUCCUCCUCAAUUGUUUGGAAUAAUUUCUGCAGUACAUGAAUCAGCUCUUCCUUGAAGGUUUGAUAGAAUUCUGGUGUGAAGCCAUCUGGACCAGGGCAUUUUUUUGUUGGAAGGUUUUUUAUUGUUUCUUUAAUCUCAGUGCUUGAAAUUGGUCUGUUCAGGAGCUCUAUUUCUUCCUGGGUAAGUCUAGGGAGAGGGUGUGAUUCCAAAUAUUGAUCCAUUUCCUUCACAUCGUCAAAUUUCUGGGCAUAAUCUGGUAGUAUUCAGAGAUAAUCUUUUAUAUAUCUGUGGCAUCAGUUGUUAUUUCCUCUCCAUCAUUUCUGUUUGAGGUUACUAGAGAUUUUACUUUUCUAGUUCUAGUUAGUGUGGCCAAAGGUUUAUCUAUUUUAUUUAUUUUUGGGGGCGGCACCUGUGGCUCAAGGAGUAGGGCACAUGUCCCAUAUGCCAGAGGUGGUGGGUUCAAACCUAGCCCCGGCCAAAAACAAACAAAAAAAAGAAAUAUUUAUUUUUUCAAAAAAUCAACUCCUUGUUUCAUUAAUUUUCUGAAUGAUUCUUUUGUUUUCAAUUUCAUUGAUCUCUGAUUUAAUUUUGGAUAUUUCUUUCCUUCUACAUGGUUUAGGCUUAUAUUGUUCUUCUUUUACCAAUUCCAUAAGAUGGCUUGUGAGUUUGUUGAUGCACUCUCUUUCUGUUUUUUGAAUGUAGGGAUGUAAAGUGAUAAAUUUUCCUCUCAAAACUGCUUUUGCAGUAUCCCAUAGGUUUUGGUAGCUUGUGUCGUCAUUGUUGUUAUGCUCAAGGAAGUUAAUGAUUUCCUGUUGUAUUUCUUCCUGCACCCAUCUGUCAUUCAAGAGAAGGUUGUUUAAUUUCCAUGCCUUUGUGUGGGGUUGAAUGUUUUUGUUGGAGUUGAGUCCCACCUUUAGUGCCUUGUGGUCUGAGAAGAUAUAAGGUAAAAUUUCAAUUCUUUUGAUUCUGUUGAGGCUUGUUUUGUGUCCUAGGAUGUGAUCAAUUUUGGAGAAUGUUUCAUGGGGUGAUGAAAAGAAUGUAUAUUCUUUAUCUUUGGGAUGGAGUGUUCUAUAUACAUCUAUUGAGCACAAUUGUUCUAGGGUCUCAUUUAAGUCCCUUAUAUGUUUGUUUAAUUUCUGUUUAGAGGAUACGUCCAGCUCUGUAAGAGGAAUGUUAAAGUCCCCUGUUAUUAUGAUAUUAUAGGAUAUCAUAUUGCUCAGACUGAGUAAGGUCUGUUUCAAAAAUCUGCAUUUAAAUGGGGUGCAUAAAUAUUCAGAAUUGAAAUGUAUUCUUGUUGUAUUUUUCCUUUGACCAAUAUAAAGUGACCAUUUUUGUCUUUUUUGACUUUAGUUGCUUUAAAUCCACAUGUAUCUGAAAAUAAGAUUGCAACUCCUCUUGUCUUCUGAAUUUUGUUUGCCUGAAAAAUUGUCUUCCAACCCUUAGCAAGGAGUUUUAAUUUCUUUUGAAGCUAGGUGUGUUUCCUGCAGACAGCAAAUAGAAGGCUUGUGUUUUUUAAUCCAGUCAGCCAAUCUAUACCUCUUCAAUGGGGAAUUCAAGCCAUUAACAUUUAUUGAGAUAAUUGAUAAAUAUGGCAGUGUUCUAUUCAUCUUAUUUUGUGAGAGUCCAUUGCUUAGUUUUAUCUUUUGCAUCAGUGUGGAAGCUAGGUUCUGUCUUUUAAUUUCUGAGUUCUUACUUUGCUCUUGAUCCAUUGUGAUGGUCUGUGUGUAGAACAGGUUGAAGUAUUUCCUGUAGAGCUGGUCUUGUGGUGGCAAAUUUCCUCAAUGUUUGUAUAUUAGUAAAUGAUUUGAUUGCUCCAUCAAUUUUAAAGCUUAACUUAGCAGGAUAUAGAAUUCUGGGCUGGAAAUUGUUCUGUUUUAAGUACAUUAAAGGUAGAUGACCAUUGUCUUCUUGCUUGGAAAGUUUCAUUAGAGAGUCUGCAGUCACCCUGAUGGAUUUGCCCCUGUAGGUCAACUGGUGCUUACUUCUGGCAGCUUAAAGAAUCUAUUCUUUUAUCUUGACUUUGGGCAGGUUCAUCACAAUGUGUCUUGGAGAAGCUUGGUUAGAGUUGAGGUGACCUGGGGUCCAAUAUCCCUCUGAAAGGAGUGUGUCAGAAUCUUUGGUGAUAUUUUGGGAAAUUUUCAUGUAUAAUAUUCUCUAGUAUGGCUUCCAUUCCUCUGGGGCAUUCUUCUUCCCCUUCUGGGAUACCUAUCACUUGUAUAUUUGAAUGCUUCAUAAAGUCCCAUAAUUCUGUCAGUGAACGUUCUGCUUUCUUUCUCUUCUUUCCUGCCUCUUUAACUAUCUGAGUUAUCUCAAGAGCUUUGUCCUCUACCUCUGAGAGUCUUUCUGCAUGGUCUAACCUGUUGCUGAUAUUUUCUAUUGCAUAUUUAAGUUCCGUAAUUGACUACUUCAGUUCCUUCAGCUCCGCUAUAUCCUUUCUAUAGUUUUCAUAUCGUUUAUCUCUUAUUUGAUUGUUUUUGGAUUUCCUUUUGGUUAUUUUCUACUUUAUCAGCAGUUUCCUUCAUUGUUUCCAUCAUUUCCUUCAUUGUUUUCAUCACCUGUAUUCUAAUUCCCUUUCUGUCAUUUCUAACAUUUCUUUAUAGGUGGAAUCCUCUGCAGUAGCUAUCUCAUGGUCCCUUGGGGGGGUUGCUCUGGACUGGUUUUUCAUGUUGCCAGGAUUUUUCUGCUGAUUCUUUCUCAUGAGUGAUUUCUUUUAUCUGUUUCCUUGCCCUAAUUUUCCUUUCACUUGCUGUUGGUCUUUAAGUUGCCGUGCCUCUGGACCAGAAGAAUGAGAAUGUUGAAGAGCAAGAAGGGUAAAAAGAAAGAAAAAAGAAGGAAAAAAGAGAAAGGAGAGGGGGUGGGUAAAAGGGAAUAUUGACAAAAAGAAGAGGGGCACAGAAAGAGAGAGAGCGAGCAAUAUAGGUGUAUAGUAGGGUACUUUCACGCAACCUUAAAAGCCCCCCAAACUCUGAGGAUUCCAGGUUGGGUGGUUCCCUUGAGGUGAGCAGCUCUUUGCUAGCCUGUUUGGACACAGUACCCUGCCUCCACCAAGUAGAGAGGAAAGACAAAAAUGCUAUAAAUCAAACCAAGACAAGCAAACAGAAAACUUCACGGGACAAAAUUGGGGGGAAAAAACAAAUAAUAGGGGUAGAAACACUAGCAAAAAUGAAGUUUUAAUUGUUGAAAAAGGCAUCAAUGGGAAAUUAUAUUUAAACUAGAAAAAUGAAGAAAGAAAAGAAAAGAAAAAUUUAUGGGGAAAAUGUUGAAAUUAAAAAACAAAACAACAACAACAACUAAAAAAAAAAAAAAGAAAACCAAAAACAAAGCAGUAUAUAUCUCUUGCUGAAUAUUGUCUGGGCAAAGGUGAUCUUCUGGGUAUGAGAUGUUAAUCACAAUGCUGAUAUACCUGUACAAGAUGGAGACUGGAGGCCUCUUGAUUUCUCAAACCCCAAAGGGUGGAGAGCCUAAAGUGGAGACCUUAAAUCUCUACUCAGCCCAUGUAAAAGGCACUUUAAACUGCUAAACUUGGCUAAGCAGAAGCUUUCCCAGGAAAGUGCUUGUCGCUGGGAUCACUCCUGAAGUGGCUA
This is a long non-coding RNA of Nycticebus coucang (slow loris), 8615 nucleotides long. RefSeq lists it as uncharacterized. The transcript is spliced from 2 exons. The record is from RefSeq and is a predicted model, not a curated record. NCBI's taxonomy places the organism in Eukaryota, Metazoa, Chordata, Mammalia, Primates, Lorisidae.